RNAcentral lists this ribosomal RNA (253 nucleotides) under uncultured bacterium. RNAcentral's name for it is "partial 16S ribosomal RNA". It matches the Rfam family "Bacterial small subunit ribosomal RNA", at positions 524 to 776 of the family's 1533-position model. The record is from RNAcentral.
UACGUAGGCAGCGAGCGUUGUUCGGAAUUACUGGGCGUAAAGAGUGUGUAGGCGGUGCUCUAAGUUCGGUGUGAAAUCUCCUGGCUCAACUGGGAGGGUGCGCCGGAAACUGGAGUGCUUGAGCGUGGGAGAGGAAAGCGGAAUUCCUGGUGUAGCGGUGAAAUGCGUAGAUAUCAGGAGGAACACCUGUGGUGUAGACGGCUUUCUGGACCAUAGCUGACGCUGAGGAGCGAAAGCCAGGGGAGCAAACGGG